Molecule: ribosomal RNA, 496 nt
Filed under: uncultured bacterium
Lineage: Bacteria
Description: partial 16S ribosomal RNA
Rfam family: Bacterial small subunit ribosomal RNA
Source: RNAcentral
GAUGAACGCUGGUGGCGUGCCUAAUACAUGCAAGUCGAGCGAACAGACGAGGAGCUUGCUCCUCUGACGUUAGCGGCGGACGGGUGAGUAACACGUGGAUACCUACCUAUAAGACUGGGAUAACUUCGGGAAACCGGAGCUAAUACCGGAUAAUAUAUUGAACCGCAUGGUUCAAUAGUGAAAGACGGUUUUGCUGUCACUUAUAGAUGGAUCCGCGCCGCAUUAGCUAGUUGGUAAGGUAACGGCUUACCAAGGCAACGAUGCGUAGCCGACCUGAGAGGGUGAUCGGCCACACUGGAACUGAGACACGGUCCAGACUCCUACGGGAGGCAGCAGUAGGGAAUCUUCCGCAAUGGGCGAAAGCCUGACGGAGCAACGCCGCGUGAGUGAUGAAGGUCUUCGGAUCGUAAAACUCUGUUAUUAGGGAAGAACAAAUGUGUAAGUAACUAUGCACGUCUUGACGGUACCUAAUCAGAAAGCCACGGCUAACUACGUG